AUGAAGCUGGAUUCGCUAGUAAUCGCGCAUCAGCCAUGGCGCGGUGAAUACGUUCCCGGGCCUUGUACACACCGCCCGUCAAGCCAUGGAAGCCGGGAGUGCCUGAAGUGUGCAACCGCAAGGAGCGCCCUAAGGUAAAACUGGUGACUGGGGCUAAGUCGUAACAAGGUAUC
This 173-nucleotide ribosomal RNA is filed under the name uncultured bacterium. RNAcentral describes it as "partial 16S ribosomal RNA". It matches the Rfam family "Bacterial small subunit ribosomal RNA", at positions 1320 to 1500 of the family's 1533-position model. The record is from RNAcentral.